AUUGAACGCUGGCGGCAUGCUUUACACAUGCAAGUCGAACGGUAACAGGGUGCUUGCACCGCUGACGAGUGGCGAACGGGUGAGUAAUGCGUCGGAACGUGCCGAGUAGUGGGGGAUAACGCAGCGAAAGUUGUGCUAAUACCGCAUACGUACUGAGGUAGAAAGUGGGGGACCUUCGGGCCUCACGCUAUUCGAGCGGCCGACGUCUGAUUAGCUAGUAGGUGAGGUAAAGGCUCACCUAGGCGACGAUCGGUAGCGGGUCUGAGAGGAUGAUCCGCCACACUGGGACUGAGACACGGCCCAGACUCCUACGGGAGGCAGCAGUGGGGAAUUUUGGACAAUGGGCGAAAGCCUGAUCCAGCCAUGCCGCGUGUCUGAAGAAGGCCUUCGGGUUGUAAAGGACUUUUGUCAGGGAGGAAAUCCCUAGUGCUAAUAACACUGGGGGAUGACAGUACCUGAAGAAUAAGCACCGGCUAACUACGUGCCAGCCGCCGCUGUAA
RNAcentral lists this ribosomal RNA (500 nucleotides) under uncultured bacterium. Its description in RNAcentral is "partial 16S ribosomal RNA". It matches the Rfam family "Bacterial small subunit ribosomal RNA", at positions 30 to 523 of the family's 1533-position model. The record is from RNAcentral.